Molecule: long non-coding RNA, 135 nt
Organism: Bactrocera neohumeralis
Lineage: Eukaryota; Metazoa; Arthropoda; Insecta; Diptera; Tephritidae
Exons: 2
Source: RefSeq, a predicted model, not a curated record
CGACAUUUUUACUCUUGUAUUUAGUUUAUUCACUUCACAGUAAUAUUUAAAAUUUAAAAACAGGUUUUUUCGCUUUGUUUUUAGUAAAAGAUUUGUUUGAAUUUUUGUGCGCUUGUUCAACGCUUUGUUAUUGCU